AUGCACACGGCCGGCGCGCACACCGUCUCGGAACUGUGCGCGCUCGCGGUCGACGACACGACACCGGGCGCCUACGACACGCCAAAACGGGGCCUGUCGCACGCCAAAACCCACGCGCCCCCCCCCGUUCGCACGCACGCACGCACGCGUGCGCCCGCGGACGUCUUGCAGGCCCCAUCGCAUGCACAUGCACCUGCGAGGGACCCCGGCCGGUCAAAGGCGACAGCUCGGAGUGAAUGCCCCGUCCCCGCACGUCAGGUCGAUCGAUCGACCCGAUCGGAACUGGCCCUAAAUGCCCAUGCAGCCCCACCUACCCCCACCUGUUCCGUUUCAAUGCGCUGCCUGGCUCCGGCCGGUGUCGUCCGUCGCCUCAGGCAACCUGCCCGUGCAUACCAAGUAUAG
Molecule: ribosomal RNA, 402 nt
Filed under: Triticum aestivum (bread wheat)
Lineage: Eukaryota; Viridiplantae; Streptophyta; Magnoliopsida; Poales; Poaceae
Description: partial small subunit ribosomal RNA
Source: RNAcentral